UGCAGUCGACGAAGUCUUCGGACUUAGUGGCGCACGGGUGAGUAACACGUGGGAAUAUACCUCUCAGUGGGGGAUAACGUCGGGAAACUGACGCUAAUACCGCAUACGCCCUUCGGGGGAAAGAUUUAUCGCUGAGAGAUUAGCCCGCGUCCGAUUAGCUAGUUGGUAAGGUAAUGGCUUACCAAGGCAACGAUCGGUAGCUGGUCUGAGAGGAUGAUCAGCCACACUGGGACUGAGACACGGCCCAGACUCCUACGGGAGGCAGCAGUGGGGAAUAUUGGACAAUGGGCGAAAGCCUGAUCCAGCCAUGCCGCGUGAGUGAUGAAGGCCUUAGGGUUGUAAAGCUCUUUCGACGGGGACGAUGAUGACGGUACCCGUAGAAGAAGCCCCGGCUAACUUCGUGCCAGCAGCCGCGGUAAUACGAAGGGGGCUAGCGUUGUUCGGAAUUACUGGGCGUAAAGCGCACGCAGGCGGUGAUCAUAGUCAGAAGUGAAAGCCCUGGGCUCAACCCGGGAAUUGCUUUUGAUACUGGGUCACUAGAAUCACGGAGAGGGUAGUGGAAUUCCGAGUGUAGAGGUGAAAUUCGUAGAUAUUCGGAAGAACACCAGUGGCGAAGGCGACUACCUGGCCGUCGAUUGACGCUCAUGUGCGAAAGCGUGGGGAGCAAAC
Molecule: ribosomal RNA, 669 nt
Filed under: uncultured bacterium
Lineage: Bacteria
Description: bacterial SSU rRNA
Rfam family: Bacterial small subunit ribosomal RNA
Source: RNAcentral